RNAcentral lists this long non-coding RNA (1612 nucleotides) under Bos taurus (domestic cattle). RNAcentral's name for it is "long non-coding RNA NONBTAT024798". The record is from RNAcentral. Lineage: Eukaryota; Metazoa; Chordata; Mammalia; Artiodactyla; Bovidae.
GAUAUCAGCACAUGGCACAGACGUGUCCUCCUAGCGCGUAGCUCUAGACUGUUUAGGUGAAGGCUUCAACCCGGUAAGGAGCCCGGCUGAAUGUAUCCACACUGUGGUUCAGCAGCCUUUUAGAUUAUACGGCAUUGUGGUUCAUGUUGGAAAUUACAGAUUUUAAAUGCCAUGUUCAUUAAGAAAUCCAGGGUAUUCCGAUUCUGGGGUUUUUCAUAUUGUAUUAUUAUUAUUCUUAGGAAUAGUUCAGUGUAACAAGAAGAAAACUUGACCUUUGCUCUGGUUAAACAGUAAAAGGCACUUGAAAACAAAAAGAUAAAUUAUUGAAUGAGUAGUAUUACCUACAAAUUCCAGAAUUUUCUGGGUUUUAGGACAUUGUGAAGCAUGACUGAUUAACAGAAUUUUAUACAACUGUACCAGUGAAAUUCCAAAUUGGAAUUGUUUUGUUACUCUGGUUGUUGUGCCAAAUUGUGGUACACUUAGAAAAUCCUACAGUCUUCGAUUUUUAGGGUGUUCUAUUUCAACGCCUUUUUGUUAGUAAUCAUUGCCAGUAGUGCCUUCAUCAGUUGAGGGAGGUGGCCCAGCGUAGUCUAUUCUCUAAAACAGACAGUAAAGAGCUAUUUGGAAAUGUUGAAGGCUGGUAUGGACCAGUUGGUGUGAAUAGGCACACACCUUUGAACCUAAAUCUGGGCAUCUUCAUUGAGGGAAAGAAAACAGCAAUUGUGCAAAAUUCUGUUAGUCAGUGAUUCUUUACUGUGCAGAUCCUUGCAAAUUCAGGGGCUGAAAAAAUGAAAGUGAAUAUAAACCUUGAGUGUGCUUUGGGAACCAAAUGGACUUUACGGGACAAGCUAAGCAAGUAUGUGAACAACACGCCACGUUUGUGAAGAGUGGGGUGGGUGGCAGGGGAGCUGGCACUGUCGGCCCCGUGCACUGGGGUGAGGGGUAGCCAUAGUAUUCUUUGCAAAUGUGAGAAGAGACAUUAUAUAUUCUCUUGCUUGGUGUAACUAAUCACUGUUAAUUUCAGGAAACAGAAGUCACUGAAGCUCCUUAGCAAACCAGAUCUUUGUCCUGUCCUGAUUUGCUAAGUGAGGUUGUGCAAAUGGUCAAAUUGGUACUCGAGGAGGAGGAAUGAGAAAAAGUGUCCUCUCUUCUCCAAAAUACAGGACAAAUUAUAAUAAUAUAAGUAGCAAGAAAGAAAGAAUUCUGUUUCCUGGAAUAAGCAUUUUUAUUCCUAGUUGUAGGGACCCCUGUUUUUACCUUCUCUUACAGUGUUGAUUCAUAAGAAAUAAUGUUACAUUUACAAAAACUUCAUCUGUAUGGGGUAUUUAUUUGCAAUGAUGUCUGAGUACUGUAUUUUUCUGUGCAUUACCUUAGUGUCAGAAUGUUGUCUUUAUUUUAAGAUCAUAUGCAUGUUCUCCUGCCAAGGAUCUUUUACACAGACCCAAACAAACAAAAAUGCCUUCAGAUUUUGAGAAAAUGAGGCACUACAUGGAAAAGGAAUAGGAAGGGGAAAUCAGUCACCAGCUGGGACACAGACAUAUGACACAAGUGUCUGUAAAGCCAGUGCAUAUAGGAACAGUGGGCCUGGGUAAGGGGUCAUUUUGGUAGGACC